UACAGAGGGGGCAAGCGUUGUUCGGAAUUACUGGGCGUAAAGGGCGCGUAGGCGGCCUUCUAAGUCGAACGUGAAAUCCCUGGGCUCAACCCAGGAACUGCGUCCGAUACUGGAAGGCUUGAAUCCGGGAGAGGGAUGCGGAAUUCCAGGUGUAGCGGUGAAAUGCGUAGAUAUCAGGAGGAACACCGAUGGCGAAGGCAGCUUCCUGGUCCAAUUCUGACGCUGAGGUGCGAAAGCGUGGGUAGCGAACGGG
This 253-nucleotide ribosomal RNA is filed under the name uncultured bacterium. RNAcentral describes it as "partial 16S ribosomal RNA". It matches the Rfam family "Bacterial small subunit ribosomal RNA", at positions 524 to 776 of the family's 1533-position model. The record is from RNAcentral.